AAGUCGUAACAAGGUUUCCGUAGGUGAACCUGCGGAAGGAUCAUUAUCGAAUAAACUUGAACAGGCUGUUGCUCAUGUGUGCACGCUUGUCAUCUUUAUAUCUCCAACUGUGCACAUAUUGUAGACCCUGGUGUAUUGCUGUGCUUUUAGGAGUCAGCUUUCUGGGUCUAUGUUAUUUUAUUCACAAUAUCUGGAUGUGUUGAAUUUUGGAUCAUAAUAAAUAUACAACUUUCAGCAACGGAUCUCUUGGCUCUCGCAUCGAUGAAGAACGCAGCGAAAUGCGAUAAGUAAUGUGAAUUGCAGAAUUCAGUGAAUCAUCGAAUCUUUGAACGCAUCUUGCGCUUCUUGGUAUUCCAAGGAGCAUGCCUGUUUGAGUGUCAUUUGAGUUCUCAAACCACACCCUUUGUGGUCUGUGGCUUUUGGAUAUGGGGGUUCUCUUUGCAGGCUUUGUGAAAACAAGGUCGGCUCCNCUGAAAUGUAUUAGUGGUAUCUGUGUGGACUACAGGUGUGAUAAAUCAAUCUAUGCNUCGUUCCUCACUAUGGCACNGCUUCUAAAGAGUUGGAAACAACGAUUGACAAAUUUGACCUCAAAUCAGGUAGGACUACCCGCUGAACUUAAGCAUAUCAAUAAGCGGAGGAAAAGAAACUAACAAGGAUUCCCCUAGUAACUGCGAGUGAAGCGGGAAAAGCUCAAAUUUGAAAUCUGGCGGUUCUUGACCGUCCGAGUUGUAAUCUAGAGAAGUGUUACCUGUGCUGGACCGUGUUCAAGUCUCCUGGAAUGGAGCAUCAUAGAGGGUGAGAAUCCCGUCUUUGACAUGGACUGCCCGUACGCUGUGGUACGCUCUCAAAGAGUCGAGUUGUUUGGGAAUGCAGCUCAAAAUGGGUGGUAAAUGCCAUCUAAAGCUAAAUAUUGGCGAGAGACCGAUAGCGAACAAGUACCGUGAGGGAAAGAUGAAAAGAACUUUGGAAAGAGAGUUAAACAGUACGUGAAAUUGCUGAAAGGGAAACGCUUGAAGUCAGUCAUGUCGGCCAGAAAUCAGCCUUGCUUUUGCUCGGUGUACUUUCUGGUUCGAUGGGUCAGCAUCAAUUUUGGCCACUGGAUAAAGUCUUUGGGAAUGUGGCAUCUCUUGGAUGUGUUAUAGCCCAUUGUCGCAUACGGUGGCUGGGAUUGAGGAAUUCAGCACGCCUCGCAAGGGGACGGGUUUAUACCACGUUCGUGCUUAGGAUGCUGGCGUAAUGGCUUUAAUCGACC
RNAcentral lists this ribosomal RNA (1252 nucleotides) under uncultured fungus. RNAcentral's name for it is "eukaryotic LSU rRNA". The stretch from base 583 to 1252 matches the Rfam family "Eukaryotic large subunit ribosomal RNA", at positions 1 to 649 of the family's 3401-position model. Lineage: Eukaryota; Fungi. The record is from RNAcentral.